Molecule: transfer RNA, 92 nt
Filed under: Nitrososphaerota archaeon
Lineage: Archaea; Thermoproteati; Nitrososphaerota
Description: Thaumarchaeota archaeon tRNA-OTHER
Rfam family: tRNA
About the family: Transfer RNA (tRNA) molecules are approximately 80 nucleotides in length. Their secondary structure includes four short double-helical elements and three loops (D, anti-codon, and T loops).
Source: RNAcentral
GCCCCAGUAGCUCAGCCUGGCCAGAGCGGCUGAUAAUCUCUUAGCCGAGCCUCGUAAGCAGCAGGCCGCGAGUUCAAGUCUCGCCUGGGGCU